This 116-nucleotide small RNA is filed under the name Winslowiella iniecta. RNAcentral's name for it is "Erwinia iniecta tp2". It matches the Rfam family "tp2". Lineage: Bacteria; Pseudomonadati; Pseudomonadota; Gammaproteobacteria; Enterobacterales; Erwiniaceae. The record is from Rfam by way of RNAcentral.
GGUAUUCCUUAUCUGUGUCUAAUACGUUGAAUUGUCUGGAGCCUGCCUCCUUGUGCUCUGGGGUUGCCAGAACACAUGGAGACAGGCUCGUCGUUUAUACCUUUUAGCGCUGACGC